CCCGCGUGCUGUGUAACGCCGUCGCCUGACCAGUUGCGCUUGGAACCCGCCACCCCAGUACCCCACCCCACCCCAAGCCCGCUACCCCACCCACCCACCCUCGCAUUGCUCCACCAGCUGCGUGAUGAGGUAGCGCAGGUUGAAGGACGUGUACUCGCCGCUGCCCGCCAGGAAGGCCAGACGGCUGGAGGCGGCCUUGCAAAUCUCCUGGAACCUGUGUGCAUCGCGCAGGAUGACAGGGCGGUUGUCUGUAUGAUGGCAGGGAGGUCCGGAGGUGGGGCUUGAGAAUUGGCGCACGCUGAGGAGUACGUGGGAACUAGGAAGGAUGGUGGGGCAAGGGCUGCAGGGGCUCUGUGACCGGCCACGGAUGUGCCCAUGGCGGCACGUGUGUCAUUAAAGCAGAUGCCACCCCGCAGUGCAAGCAGCGGUGCGACCCUGUUCAUCCACAUCAACGGCCCAGUGUCCCACUCCUAGCGUGGGUAGCGGUGCGGUUGGUAUGCGUAUCGCACCUGUUCCGCAACCCAUCUUCCGUAACCUCCACCUCGGCUCUCCGCAUUGCAUGGAGCCAGAAGACGUAGUCACACAUGCCGUCCAGCCCAGCCAAUGUCCCAGGCGGCAGGUUUCUGCGGGAGCGGGAGGGAGCGGGCGAGUCAUAUGUGGGGGGAGACUCGUGGGGGAGACUCAGGGACAAGUGUCAUCACCCACAAGCUGAGAGCUCUGGGGGCCCUUUCUCGCCCUUCCCUUGCAGUAUCUCGCGUCUCCACACCGGCCAAGUGGUACCGGUACUCGAGAGUCAUACCAAGGCGCCUUUAAUUCGCCACACCUGAACGCGUGCGACAAGUCCUCCUUUAUCCGCUCCAUCUUAUUUCUGUCUGUUCCGACAGUCCAGACCAGGCGCUAUCUCCUCACGUCCGCGCUGGCGGCCAGGGGCCACAAAGGCUCUGAUAUCGCUCGAAACUAUUUCGCGAUGUGCCGACGCAUCAUACUGGACACCAGAUUCAUAUCCGCAUUACGAAACUUCAAAACGCAGAGUACCGGUUUGGUUUGCGUGAAAACAUUCAACGUUGCCAGCAACGUUGCAGCGUUCUAAUCUGAGUGACGCGUACUGUUUUCAACGCAUUUGCUGCUUAACACCACUAUGUGAAAAUGGGGUCAGCUUGCUAGCGUAAACUGCGACCAGUUCUAGUUUCGGUACAGUGUACAAGCCAAGAUUUCAGACGUUUACGGUGCUGGAGUACCUGGUAAUUUGCAAUGUGGUCUGGAAGCGUUUGCCCAAACUAGAAUGUGUUGGGUUUGCCAAUCUACAAUCCGCCACCCUGCUACGUACCCCGACAGCGCAUGAGCAUGCUCUCUUUCGGUUGUUGUCGCCCCUUAGGUUUGUGCGUGCGCUGUGCGUGUGUGCUGCGGCCUGGACGAUUCCCGGCACCCCGGUGCCUAGGCUUGUGGCGUUGAGGCACAGCGGUGGGGCUCUGGCGGGUUGAGGCUUGGCUCGGACUCACUGUGCGCGGAGUCACACGGACUUUGACCGCGGGAGGGUUUGCAGCAAAGUCGGGGUUGGUGGAUUCAAGUUGGGCCCUGAUAGCAUGUGAUGGCUCGGCGUCCUCGGGUGCUGGCCUGCUGGGACUGUCCCCUCUGUAACAUCCGCAUUCUUAGGUUUGUGGACACUUACAACAGAUGUGAUAUCGCUAAGGUGCCUGUUCGUGUUCCGCGCGUAAGGCGCACGAGCCGCAUGAAGGAACGUGAAUGCGGGGGGGUUGGUUUGAGUUCGGGGAUUCUGAAGUUACUCAGUUUACAGAGGCGGGGUGGGACUGGGUGGGCAUGAUUGCGCAGGUGGCUAACGAUGCGCAAGGGUGCCGCUGGUCCGAACGGCACGGACUGUUGGUUCCGGAUUCCACGGAUGUAACGAACGGAUACUGAGUUUUACGGCUACCUGAGGGGCGUUGGAAACGAGGGGCGUCGGUGGGACUCGUGGGGAACGGUGGGAAUCGGUGGGAAUCGGUGGGAGUCGGUGGGGAUCGGUGGGAACGGGGGAGCCGAACGGGUGGGACCGGCCCUUGGGGGUGCCGACCGAAUUUACUGAUUUCACUUUUUGCAUGGGCGUAGGAUCGCGCCGCCCCGUCGAACUCUUUUGCGUGCCUGUGGCUUGCCAGCAAGUAUUCUUGAGUAGCAGAUGCGUCAUGGACAUAUAUAGAAAGAGGAGGCACGCGGCCCAAGCGGCCGCGGCUUCCGCCCUUCCCUGGGAGAAACCACACGCCCGCUCCCCCCUUCAGCGGGUGCAACACGAGCGCGGCGCCAGUUGGAAGCUGUUUUGGGGGCUGCUUAAACUCUGGCAGCCCCGCCAGUAGCUGCUUGCGAGCCUGCUCACCUGCUGCCGCUGCGCCUGCUGCCUCUUCCACAUCAACCUCACUUCAUCCCGCAGCAGCUGCGCGGGCUCCAUGCGCUGUCGCUUGGGAUAGGGCCAUAGCGGCUGGUGCGCGACUCGUGGGGCGCAGGUACCGCAGAUCGUUUGGUCGAUCGUGUUUUGGCGUGCUUUACUGUUUACAGCCCACCCUCGCCAGCAGACUGUCACUGUCCGGCAGACCGGGGGCAUUUGAGGCGCUAUCGCCAUCGCCAUGCUCCCACACGAAGCAACAAUGUGGCUUUGGCUAUACGGCAUCGGUACCAUGCCCACGCACCAGUCUCAGCAUAUCCCAUCCCGAAACACCACACCCAUUCGUCCUGGCCUUCCGCUUCCAUCUCCGCUUCCAUCAGAUUAUGAGGCGCCUUGGUGCAUCAACCGCACCAAGGGCAAGGGACCUGAACUCUUGUGCACGUCAUCUCUUCUGAACGCAGCCCCAAUAAGCUGGAACUCAUGGGUAUCUCUUUACUCGUGGAGCCUCAAAACUCUUGCCCGUGUAUUAUUCCCCAGCCUCCAUCCCAGUCAUUCUCGUGCGGGCACGCUCCACAGCAGCGUGCGUUGCACCCCUUGAACACCAUCCAACUCGUCAUCAAGCACUGCGUGUUCCCAUUUCUCUUCUCGCCCGGGAUGCAACCCCUUCGGCAACCGUGGCACGGCUGUGCGGAGGCACUGAUGGGCACUUAGCGGCACCAAAUGCGCGCCGCCUACUAGGGAGGCGCAACACAAAGCCACCAUGCUCCCGAGCCCCGCGUGUUGGCGCACAUACAGUUCCGAUCGAGUGGUGUGCCGCAAUCGGGGGCGUCCAGAGAUGGUUAUGAGAAGGUUUGGCGCCGGGCCGACAUGGUAAAAAAGGACGCAGGACUCUGCCUGCCCCCAAAACGGCACACCGCCCUGACAUGAUACACUUUACUGACAUACAUGGGUCGCCGGAGUGACACACCAAAACCAAAAAUUUCGACUGCAUUAGUUAGGUUCCCUGCUAAUAGGCGUGCAUAUAGGAUGCUCACUCCUGUGAAUACCCACGCUCCCCGUACUUCUCAUCUCCUCACGGCACCGGUGCAGGUCAUGUAAAGCCUCAUAUCAAGCAGUAACAACAAUAACACGCAUCCCGUCGCAGGCGUGCGGCUGGUUGCACCGCACCAUACCAGAUGAGCGCUGCUAGCCCGAUAACAACUUAUGAUGGACACGAUGAAACCAUUUUCAACGCGUACUAGGAUGUGCAGGUAUCAGCGCCCCUUGCGUGCCGUACUACAUGAAAUAAUGUGCUGAAGUACUAUCUCUGUCGUUUAUUGUUUGGUUCCAUGUGAGCUUCAUGAGGCAGGCCAAGCCUGCUUCCAUACAGCCUUUGUUUCAUGCAUUGGUAAGGUGGAAGCACAAUUUGAGAUGCUUCCAAAUGCGGUUGCAAUGCCCCGGGCACCUGCUAAGGCUCGCCAUCGCCCGACUCCGCGCUCGCGCUGCUGCGCCUUUUGCUGUUCUCCAUGGACGACUCCUGCUUUACUGCCGGCAGAGAUGCCGCUGUUGCCCCGGAUUGCCCCGUCCCGGCCACCGCAACUGCCGCCGCCGUGGCCGCCGCCGCAGCGCGCAGCUGCUGCUGGUGCUGCUGCUCCCGCUCUGCCUGCGCCGCCGCCUGCUCCGCUUGCGUCGCCAGCUGCUCCGCCUGUACACCACCACACAAGUAAAUGUCAAAAGAAUAGAUGAGACCGCAUGAUCAACGAGACCUGCACCCCUUACUCGCCCCCUCAGUACUGAUGUGGGCCGGGGGAGGGGAGAGCAGCGGCGGCCUACCUCGAGGGACUCCACGCGCUUCUGCAGCUUCACCACGUACUUCUCCAGCCGGCGUGUGUAGCUGUGCAUGUCUGCAAAUGACACAGAAAACGCGCAGCCACAAGUUUGAUUGCAGGUUCGGCUGGACAAGGCAUGGUUGUCAACCCGCUCGAAAGCCAAGCUACAACACCUUUCCCCUACCAUAUGGCCCUAACCGUCCCCGUCCCACCCAACCCCAAGCCCGCUACCCCACCCACCCACCCUCGCAUUGCUCCACCAGCUGCGUGAUGAGGUAGCGCAGGUUGAAGGACGUGUACUCGCCGCUGCCCGCCAGGAAGGCCAGACGGCUGGAGGCGGCCUUGCAAAUCUCCUG
This 4535-nucleotide long non-coding RNA is filed under the name Chlamydomonas reinhardtii. Its description in RNAcentral is "long non-coding RNA (CREI_LNC000157)". Lineage: Eukaryota; Viridiplantae; Chlorophyta; Chlorophyceae; Chlamydomonadales; Chlamydomonadaceae. The record is from RNAcentral.